AACGAACGCUGGCGGCGUGGAUUAGGCAUGCAAGUCGAACGCGAAAGAGGGAGCAAUCCCUCAAGUAGAGUGGCGAACGGGUGAGUAACGCGUGAAGAACCUGCCUUCAACAGGGGGAUAACACUCCCAACGGGGUGGCUAAUACCGCAUGAGACCACGGGUCCGCAUGGACCUGAGGUCAAAGGUGGCCUCUGCUUGCAAGCUACCGGUUGAAGAUGGCUUCGCGUCCCAUAGCUAGUUGGCGGUGUAAAAGACCACCAAGGCGACGAUGGGUAGCUGGUCUGAGAGGAUGGUCAGCCACACUGGGACUGAGAUACGGCCCAGACUCCUACGGGAGGCAGCAGUCGAGAGGCUUUUGGCAAUGGGGAAACCCUGACCAAGCGACGCCGCGUGGAGGAUGAAGGCCCUUGGGUUGUAAACUCCUUUUGUCGGGAAGAAAUGCGAUCAGGUAAACAAUCUGGUCGUUUGACGGUACCGGCGAAUAAGCUCCGGCUAACUCCGUG
RNAcentral lists this ribosomal RNA (503 nucleotides) under uncultured bacterium. RNAcentral's name for it is "bacterial SSU rRNA". It matches the Rfam family "Bacterial small subunit ribosomal RNA", at positions 29 to 507 of the family's 1533-position model. The record is from RNAcentral.